GACGAACGCUGGCGGCGUGCCUAAUACAUGCAAGUCGAACGAGAGCAACUGGUGCUUGCACUGGUCAAUCUAGUGGCGAACGGGUGAGUAACACGUGGGUAACCUGCCCAUCAGAGGGGGAUAACAUCCGGAAACGGAUGCUAAAACCGCAUAGGUCUUCGAACCGCAUGGUUUGAAGAGGAAAAGAGGCGCAAGCUUCUGCUGAUGGAUGGACCCGCGGUGCAUUAGCUAGUUGGUGAGGUAACGGCUCACCAAGGCCGUGAUGCAUAGCCGACCUGAGAGGGUGAUCGGCCACAUUGGGACUGAGACACGGCCCAAACUCCUACGGGAGGCAGCAGUAGGGAAUCUUCCGCAAUGGACGCAAGUCUGACGGAGCAACGCCGCGUGAGUGAAGAAGGCUUUCGGAUCGUAAAACUCUGUUGUUAGAGAAGAACAAGUGCUAGAGUAACUGUUAGCGCCUUGACGGUAUCUAACCAGAAAGCCACGGCUAACUACGUG
RNAcentral lists this ribosomal RNA (498 nucleotides) under uncultured bacterium. Its description in RNAcentral is "partial 16S ribosomal RNA". It matches the Rfam family "Bacterial small subunit ribosomal RNA", at positions 28 to 507 of the family's 1533-position model. The record is from RNAcentral.